UGGGGAAUAUUGGACAAUGGGCGCAGGCCUGAUCCAGCAAUGCCGCGUGUGUGAAGAAGGCCUGCGGGUUGUAAAGCACUUUCAGGGGUGAGGAAGGCGUGAUGUUUAAUACGCAUUACGUUUGACGUUAGCCCCAGAAGAAGCACCGGCUAACUCUGUGCCAGCAGCCGCGGUAAUACAGAGGGUGCUAGCGUUAAUCGGAAUUACUGGGCGUAAAGGGUGUGUAGGUGGUUAGAGUAAGUCAGAUGUAAAAACCCCGGGCUUAACCUGGGAAUGUCGUUUGAUACUGCUCAGCUAGAGUGCUAUAGAGGAUAGUGGAAUUUCCAGUGUAGCGGUGAAAUGCGUAGAUAUUGGAAGGAACACCAGUGGCGAAGGCGACUAUCUGGGUAGAUACUGACACUGAAACACGAAAGCAUGGGUAGCAAACAGG
This 430-nucleotide ribosomal RNA is filed under the name uncultured bacterium. Its description in RNAcentral is "partial 16S ribosomal RNA". It matches the Rfam family "Bacterial small subunit ribosomal RNA", at positions 355 to 776 of the family's 1533-position model. The record is from RNAcentral.